UUCGUCUAACAAAACCAAAAUACAAAGCUUCCGGAAAAAAAUGUGCCAAAAGAACAAAAUUAUCAAUUAUUGUAGGCUUAAUGAGUACAUUUGUCUCUGUGCACUUGUUUGACAGUAGGAACCUCAAGUUAUCCCAAUUAAGUAACUAUGCUUCACUAUUACGACAUCUCAUUUUCCAUUUAGAAGUUAUAUACUACCAAAUUAGGUAAAGAAGUCCUUACCAAAACGUCAAGAGUGAGAGGUGGGGUUGGAGUCUCCGCGCAACGCUCUUCUUUCGUUCGUACUUCAUUUUCUUGCUCUUGAUCAGUCUCUAUUUUGGACUCAGAAACAAUAAUGACCUUGGUAAUUCUGUCAUCAUCAUCUUGUUGGUAUAAAGGAAAGGAAAAAUAGCAUUAAUAGUGAGCAAAGAUAGAUUUAUAUAUCAGUAUGGAAACAAAAAUAUUUACAAGAUCACACCCAUUCUUAACCAGCUAGUUUUCAUGAUAAAUAACUCCUUCGAUUUUAAAAGUACAUUAAAUGAGUAAUGAACUAUAACAAAGGCUUUCAGUGAUUUGGUAAAAGGGGAAAAACAGAAAUUCUUCAGUUGUUGAUGCUUUUAAAAAAAAUCAUCUCAGUUUCAAGAAAACCAUAAUAUAAUACUGUGAAUAAUUCAUAGUUUACAAGUAAUUCUCUGCACAAAUUUUAAGAAAAUUCUCUUUGAGAAUUAGCUCACCGCUAGAACUAUCAUUGCUACCACCACCACCACUGCCACUUCCGAUUCUUUUAUCAACAGGAAUUACUGCUGCUAUGUUCCACAUUUUGUUUGAUGUUCUAGCCUCUAAUGUAACCGCACCACAGAGAAUUACAAAAUAAUACCUCAUAAAUUAAAAAAUGUGUAUAUACAACUCAAAUCAAAUCCAACACCUACCAGAUUUGAGUACUAUACUAAGAACACAAUAUCAUUAAUUUUCCUAUAUCAUUCUGAAUUAGAGAAUUUUUUUUACAUAAUUGAGCAAUUCAAAAGUGUAGCAGUAGCUGCAGCUGCAGUUGAUGCCAUAACAUCGCUAUUGAUUGAACAUUCACAGCAGAACUAACCACUACCACUGAUGUAAGAUGCUCGCGCUCAACUCCCAUAGCCUCAAUAGCUUCAACACACUGUAUUGCUACCAAUGUUGAAGCAGAACCAUAGCCAUAUCAGUUUUCGCCAUGUGCUCAUCCUUUCCGCCACCAGAUGAGGCUGUUGUAGCUGCUGCAAUAGAAACAACACCAGCAGCAACUCCUGCAACCGACACAACAGCAUGAAGUUGUGAAUUAUGUGCCCUCAUCUCCUAUUUUUUCUUCUCCCUCCUAUCCUUUAACCACUUACCCACCAUCUUCCCUUCUUUACCACCACCACCAAUAACAGCCGAGCUAGUAGCAGCAACACUACUCCUGUACUGGUUAUAAAUUGGUACAUUAUUCAGAUGACUGUAUUGAAGAUGACAAAUUAAACUUUUGGAGUCUCAACUGGAAGUCAAAGUUAUGAAAACCUUCGAUAGUUUCUUACCAAGUCAAUUGAGUUGCAUCAGUCAUGCCGACGUCCCGAAGGAACCUGCGAAUUGAAUUGAGAAUCAAGUAAGGAAGGCCAUAAUUUGAUUAUUUGGAGAGAGCAUGAGAGAUGAUAAUAUGGUUUCUUAAAAGGAGAAGAAAAUAUAAAAUUCUGUAGUAUAACGCAAGCUCCGGAAGACAUUGGAGAUGCUUAAGCUAUUUAGAGACAGUUCAGCAAUAGAAAGCUCUUUACAGACUGUCCAGCAAUUAAAAUUAUCUGGCAACUGGAUUAAUGAGGCAUCAACUAAAAAAUCUUUGAAACACCACCAGAACGAUUUCAUUUAUGCUCAAAUCAAAGGUGUAAAUUUUAAAAUGUACAUUCAGCAAUGAGACACUGAGGCUAACUUUUUAGUUGUUACAGGCGAAUAGAUGCACAUAAUUAUGAAAUCCGAACCUAUACGUUCAUGCUUAACGAACUCUUGAAGACUGCAAAACUCGUAAAUACAUGGCUAUCUACUCUAGUUUGAUCAUUCAAAUUAGAAUCUACUGCAUUAAUAAAAGGGUAAAUUACACUAAACACCCCUGUAAAAUAAACUUUCAAAGUUCGGAAAGCUUCAGCAGUAAAUUGAGUUUAGCUACUUAUGGUAAGGUUUACCCAAUUGAAUGGUAGGCAAAUUCGAGUAUUUGUUGGCUUUAUAGGGAAUCAUUUAGGUUAUCGAGCUCAACCUGUUGGGACAAUAAAGAUCAGGUCAACCUUAACUCUAUUAGAUAUCAGUUCAGAAAGGAAGGGAAAAAGAAUGGCUUAGCUCAGUGAAACAAAGCUAGAUCUGUGAAGAAGGAGUUGAAGAAGUCUUCAUGAGGUAUCUAUUUCAUGACAUUGUAUGACGUUGUGAUGUCUUAGGUGAAAUCAGUCCAAACUCAACCCCAAGAUAGAGAUGAGUUAGGUUUCAUGAUGAUAAGCUCGUAACAAACCUCUCCAUAAGCGUUACUCUUCAACGGCGGCCAUGAAUGAUCGACGAAGAUGAAGAGAUCACAGCAUUGAACUUUCCAUCCUCAGCUGUCUGCUUGAUUAUUGAUGGUAGGUGUUAAGUUACGAAAAUACCCUUGAUGUUGGUAUUAUUUACCAAAAUACCCUUCGUCGUAAACCAGAUGCAGGUGUCCCCACAUGUUAAAUCGCGUGAGAUUUAUAUGCAAGAUGCA
RNAcentral lists this long non-coding RNA (2706 nucleotides) under Capsicum annuum. RNAcentral describes it as "long non-coding RNA (CANN_LNC009777)". Lineage: Eukaryota; Viridiplantae; Streptophyta; Magnoliopsida; Solanales; Solanaceae. The record is from RNAcentral.